This 490-nucleotide ribosomal RNA is filed under the name uncultured bacterium. Its description in RNAcentral is "partial 16S ribosomal RNA". It matches the Rfam family "Bacterial small subunit ribosomal RNA", at positions 30 to 507 of the family's 1533-position model. The record is from RNAcentral.
AUUGAACGCUGGCGGCAUGCUUUACACAUGCAAGUCGGACGGCAGCACAGAGAAGCUUGCUUCUUGGGUGGCGAGUGGCGAACGGGUGAGUAAUAUAUCGGAACGUACCGAGUAAUGGGGGAUAACUAAUCGAAAGAUUAGCUAAUACCGCAUAUUCUCUGAGGAGGAAAGCAGGGGACCUUCGGGCCUUGCGUUAUUCGAGCGGCCGAUAUCUGAUUAGCUAGUUGGUGGGGUAAAGGCCUACCAAGGCGACGAUCAGUAGCGGGUCUGAGAGGAUGAUCCGCCACACUGGGACUGAGACACGGCCCAGACUCCUACGGGAGGCAGCAGUGGGGAAUUUUGGACAAUGGGCGCAAGCCUGAUCCAGCCAUGCCGCGUGUAUGAAGAAGGCCUUCGGGUUGUAAAGGACUUUUGUCAGGGAAGAAAAGGCUGUUGCUAAUAUCGACAGCUGAUGACGGUACCUGAAGAAUAAGCACCGGCUAACUACGUG